CGAAUCCGCGCGGGAGAGUUCCGGGCCCCCGUGGCCCGGGCGCCGAAGGAGCAAGUUCCUCCCUUGAAUCUCUCAGGCCCCGCACCGCACGGAUGAG
Molecule: non-coding RNA, 97 nt
Filed under: Streptomyces kanasensis
Lineage: Bacteria; Bacillati; Actinomycetota; Actinomycetes; Kitasatosporales; Streptomycetaceae
Description: Glycine sequence
Rfam family: Glycine riboswitch aptamer
About the family: This family represents the bacterial glycine riboswitch. Glycine riboswitches usually consist of two metabolite-binding aptamers domains with similar structures in tandem.
Source: Rfam by way of RNAcentral